CUUAUUAUGGAUGUUUUCAUAACAUUUAAAUGUUUUUUAGUCUCUGCUAGAAACACUAAAAUACUGAGUAAAUUUUACGACACUAUUUUAGAGUGCGUUUGAAUCAGCGCAUGCGCAUUGGGACAAACGAAAGUACCGCGCAGAUGUCCAUUGUCCGUCCGUUCGUUGGCAGCAGACAGAGUUGUGAAUAUCUCCGGAAUCUCUCAGGCGACUGUUUUUGUAUUUAGCCGGCUGGGACAUGAGGUGACCAGAGAGAGUCAGGAGCGCUGGGCUGUUCAGUGACUAAUCAAAUACUGCACCGUUGUGAUUAGAACCCGAGCACUGACAUGUGACGUGACGCAGUUAUCAGUGGCCUCAUACUAUUCCUUGGUGAAAAAGAAGAGAAACUUUUCGAAGAUUGCCUGGAGGACAAUCGCAGUGAUGCCACUCAACACAUAGUCAAGAUCCUGGUUGUCCAUGGUACUGAUGGAGAAGAACCAGUAGAUGUUUCCAUCAUUCUUGAAGGGAAGGAGGUAUUGACACGAUGCAACAGCACAGCCAAAGCUUGCACGUUGCUAAUGGGACUGAUUUAUUCCCUGAACCUUGCCUACCCCUGGACUCUGCGCUACACCUUUGAGGUGUUUCAAAAACUUUUCCUGGAACUGAAUGGGAUAAAGCUGUCACCAAAAGUACAUCUUUAAAGUUGAAGUUGCUGUCUGAAAGGAGUUUUCUUUCUUAAAUGUUCCUAAUGUUGUCAACAAAGGCAACUGCUGUCAUUCAUGCUCACAAGGUAAAAAAAAAGUUAAAAAUAACCUUUGUUUUAAAGGUUUUAACAGAGGAUUUGAUGUUGUCCUCAAACUUUAAUGUUUUAACCGAAUGCUAAUAUAAAUAUGUUAAUGGAUGUUGCGGUUUAGAAUGUUGUUCAUGUCAGUACAGCAUAUUUUGUCAGGUCAAACCCUCAAUCUGUUUUGUCACCUGAUGUGCCCUGUUUAGUUUAAUGCGUCCAGGAGUCAAAAACAUUUUGAUUUUCCAGUGAUAUGCUUUUUUUCUGUAUAGCGUAAUGAUCACUCAGUAAAGGUAAACUUUUUUCUUUAUUGAUGCUUGAUUGAUGCUUUAUUGAUUUACUGCUGCUGAGAUUUCAUUUAAUUUUUUGUCAUGUGAAAUGUUGACUGCUGUUUCAUGUACAGUUCUACAUAGCUGUAUAAAAUGAGGUGUUACGUAAGGUACCUGACAAAGGUUUAUGAAUAAAUAAUGGAAUUGUAUUUUAGCCGUGUG
Molecule: long non-coding RNA, 1254 nt
Organism: Gasterosteus aculeatus aculeatus (three-spined stickleback)
Lineage: Eukaryota; Metazoa; Chordata; Actinopteri; Perciformes; Gasterosteidae
Source: Ensembl